CCAGAGAUGGAUUGGUGCCGUUCGGGAACUCUGACACGAGGUGCUGCAUGGCUGUCGUCAGCUCGUGUCGUGAGAUGGUUGGGUUAACGUCCCGUAACGAGCGCCAACCCUUGUCCUUAGUUACCAGCACGUUAUGGUGGGCACUCUAAGGAGACUGCCGGUGACAAACCGGAGGAAGGUGGGGAUGACGUCAAGUCAUCAUGGCCCUUACGGCCUGGGCUACACACGUGCUACAAUGGUCGGUACAAAGGGUUGCCAAGCCGCGAGGUGGAGCUAAUCCCAUAAAACCGAUCGUAGUCCGGAUCGCAGUCUGCAACUCGACUGCGUGAAGUCGGAAUCGCUAGUAAUCGUGAAUCAGAAUGUCACGGUGAAUACGUUCCCGGGCCUU
RNAcentral lists this ribosomal RNA (388 nucleotides) under uncultured Pseudomonas sp. Its description in RNAcentral is "bacterial SSU rRNA". It matches the Rfam family "Bacterial small subunit ribosomal RNA", at positions 1000 to 1382 of the family's 1533-position model. The record is from RNAcentral. Lineage: Bacteria; Pseudomonadati; Pseudomonadota; Gammaproteobacteria; Pseudomonadales; Pseudomonadaceae.